This 425-nucleotide long non-coding RNA is filed under the name Carica papaya (papaya). RNAcentral's name for it is "long non-coding RNA (CPAP_LNC004351)". Lineage: Eukaryota; Viridiplantae; Streptophyta; Magnoliopsida; Brassicales; Caricaceae. The record is from RNAcentral.
AAUGGUCAAGUCACAAAAGUUGUAGAGGGUGUACAGGAGGUUAAAAAUGUAUAAUGCACCUCUUGUGCCUGCUUUUGUUGCUACAAGAGUCGCUUUAGGGACUGUGAGUGGCACUUGCAUUUAUUAUAUGUCGAAUGCAUAGCCCUAAUCUCUAAUCAUCAUUCUAGCUUAAUGAUUAAACAAAUUAAAAGUUUCAUAUUUCUAACUUUAUGUCGACUCUACGUAAAAUCAAGACCGCAUAAUCAUGUUUUUUUAUUAACGGGCCGAGCUUAAUCACUACUUUCAAUUAGAAUCGGGAUGCAUGUGCUAUCUUCCACCCCCAGCAUCUGCAAAGGCUCUGAGCGUGGAGGCGGUGGACGACAAGACUCUCUAACUAGUCAUCCUUUGUUCAGGUUUUGUGGUGCCCAUGCAUUGGAAGCUCUUAU